GACGAACGCUGGCGGCGCGCCUAACACAUGCAAGUCGAGCGACGAAAGGUCCUUCGGGACCCUGAAAGCGGCGAACGGGUGAGUAACACGUGGGUAACCCACCCUCGGUUCCGGGAUAGCCCGGGGAAACUCGGAUUAAUACCGGAUGGCCUCCCGGGUCUUACGGGCUCGGGAGAAAAGGGAGCUUCGGCCUCCGACCGGGGACGGGCCCGCGGCCGAUUAGCUUGUUGGCGGGGUAACGGCCCACCAAGGCGACGAUCGGUAGCUGGUCUGAGAGGACGAUCAGCCACACUGGGACUGAGACACGGCCCAGACUCCUACGGGAGGCAGCAGUGGGGAAUCUUGCGCAAUGGGCGAAAGCCUGACGCAGCGACGCCGCGUGCGGGAAGAAGGCCUUCGGGUUGUAAACCGCUUUCAGGAGGGACGAAGCCACUCGGGUUAAUAGCCCAGAGGGUGACGGUACCUUCAGAAGAAGCCCCGGCUAACUACGUGCCAGCAGCCGCAGUAA
RNAcentral lists this ribosomal RNA (508 nucleotides) under uncultured bacterium. RNAcentral describes it as "partial 16S ribosomal RNA". It matches the Rfam family "Bacterial small subunit ribosomal RNA", at positions 28 to 523 of the family's 1533-position model. The record is from RNAcentral.